UCCUGGUUAACCCAGGCAGUCUUGUUAGAGUUCCCGACAUAAUCGUUGGCAACUAACAAUAAGGGUUGCGCUCGUUGCGGGACUUAACCCAACACCUCACGGCACGAGCUGACGACAGCCAUGCAGCACCUAUAUAGAGGUCCUUACGGAAGACGCCAUUUCUGGCGUUGUCCUCUACACUUCGAGCCUGGGUAAGGUUCUUCGCGUUGCAUCGAAUUAAACCACAUGCUCCACUGCUUGUGCGGGCCCCCGUCAAUUCUUUUGAGUUUCACCCUUGCGAGCGUACUUCCCAGGCGGCAUACUUAACGCGUUAGCUCCGACACAAUCAGGGUUGAAUCUGAUUACGCCUAGUAUGCAUCGUUUACAGCGUGGACUAC
RNAcentral lists this unclassified non-coding RNA (377 nucleotides) under uncultured Chlamydiales bacterium. Its description in RNAcentral is "contains 16S-23S intergenic spacer region". Lineage: Bacteria; Pseudomonadati; Chlamydiota; Chlamydiia; Chlamydiales. The record is from RNAcentral.